GUCAAGUUAGUUUAUAUAAAAUGUCAGCCUGUGGAUUUGAAGAUGAAAAUACUGUUUCACUUGACC
Molecule: transfer RNA, 66 nt
Filed under: Mancinella alouina
Lineage: Eukaryota; Metazoa; Mollusca; Gastropoda; Neogastropoda; Muricidae
Description: tRNA-His
Source: RNAcentral